This 361-nucleotide ribosomal RNA is filed under the name Anilios australis (Southern blind snake). RNAcentral's name for it is "partial 16S ribosomal RNA". The record is from RNAcentral. Lineage: Eukaryota; Metazoa; Chordata; Lepidosauria; Squamata; Typhlopidae.
UAAAUGCGUCUAGCAAAGUUUUAAAAAUACCACCACCUCUAGUUUUCUCCAGCAAGCUAAAAGAACAAUCCUAUUAACAUAGGAACUCCUAUGCUAAAACUACUAAUAUGGGUCCUCCUCCUAGCACAUCUUUUUCUCAUCCAUUUGACAAUUAACAGACCAAAAAAGGAAAGAAAAACGCUCUUCACUAUUCUAACCUCACUGUAAGUCCAACUCUGAUGUGCAAAAUCAAGGUCGAAAGUCUUAAAAGGAACUCGGCAAACACGAACCCCAACUGUUUACCAAAAACAUAGCCUUUAGCCACACAAGUAUUAAAGGUACUGCCUGCCCAGUGAAUUUUUUUAACGGCCGCGGUAUCCUA